GCUGGAAGCAGUGAUAAGCCCCUAUAGUCCCAACUACUUGGGGGGCUGAGGCAGGAAGAUGGCUUGAGCCCAGGAGUUUGAGGUCAGACUGGACAACCUAGCUAGAUCCUAUCUCUU
RNAcentral lists this small RNA (117 nucleotides) under Marmota monax (woodchuck). Lineage: Eukaryota; Metazoa; Chordata; Mammalia; Rodentia; Sciuridae. The record is from RNAcentral.